Molecule: small RNA, 28 nt
Filed under: Bombyx mori (domestic silkworm)
Lineage: Eukaryota; Metazoa; Arthropoda; Insecta; Lepidoptera; Bombycidae
Description: ovarian small RNA-26598
Source: RNAcentral
UCCAAUGCGAACGCGAAGUGAUGGAGAU